CAGCAGCCACGGUAAUACGAAGGUCCCGAGCGUUGUUCGGAAUCACUGGGCGUAAAGGGAGCGUAGGCGGCGUGGUAAGUCAGAUGUGAAAUCCCGGGGCUCAACCCCGGAACUGCAUCCGAUACUGCCAUGCUAGAGGAUUGGAGAGGUAGCUGGAAUUCUUGGUGUAGCAGUGAAAUGCGUGGAGAUCAAGAGGAACACUCGUGGCGAAAGCGAGCUACUGGACAAUAACUGACGCUGAGGCUCGAAGGCCAGGGUAGCGAAAGGGAUUAGAUACCCCCGUAGUCCCUGUCUCUUAUAC
This 301-nucleotide ribosomal RNA is filed under the name uncultured bacterium. Its description in RNAcentral is "partial 16S ribosomal RNA". It matches the Rfam family "Bacterial small subunit ribosomal RNA", at positions 509 to 807 of the family's 1533-position model. The record is from RNAcentral.